RNAcentral lists this transfer RNA (68 nucleotides) under Phaonia tuguriorum. RNAcentral describes it as "tRNA-Pro". The record is from RNAcentral. Lineage: Eukaryota; Metazoa; Arthropoda; Insecta; Diptera; Muscidae.
CAAGAAGUAGUUUAAUUAAAAAUAUUAAUUUUGGAGAUUAAUGAAAAAAGUCAUUCUUUUUUUCUUGA